RNAcentral lists this ribosomal RNA (503 nucleotides) under uncultured bacterium. RNAcentral's name for it is "bacterial SSU rRNA". It matches the Rfam family "Bacterial small subunit ribosomal RNA", at positions 24 to 518 of the family's 1533-position model. The record is from RNAcentral.
UCAGGAUGAACGCUAGCGGCAGGCCUAACACAUGCAAGUCGAGGGGUAACAGGCGGUAGCAAUACUGUGCUGACGACCGGCGCACGGGUGCGUAACGCGUAUGCAACCUGCCCGUAACAGGGGGAUAAAUCAGGGAAACUUGACCUAAUACCCCAUAUUGCCAAACCACCGCAUGAUGGGUUGGCGAAAGUUUCGAUGGUUACGGAUGGGCAUGCGUGACAUUAGCUAGUUGGUGGGGCAACGGCCCACCAAGGCGACGAUGUCUAGGGGAGCUGAGAGGCUAAUCCCCCACACUGGUACUGAGACACGGACCAGACUCCUACGGGAGGCAGCAGUGAGGAAUAUUGGUCAAUGGUGGGAACACUGAACCAGCCAUGCCGCGUGAGGGAGGAAAAGGCCCUAUGGGUUGUAAACCUCUUUUGCACGGGAGUAAUAAGGCUCAUGCGUGGGCCGAUGAGAGUACCGUGCGAAUAAGCAUCGGCUAACUCCGUGCCAGCAGCUGC